RNA transcript from Macadamia integrifolia, 966 nucleotides. RefSeq lists it as uncharacterized. The transcript has 4 exons. Lineage: Eukaryota; Viridiplantae; Streptophyta; Magnoliopsida; Proteales; Proteaceae. The record is from RefSeq and is a predicted model, not a curated record.
CCCCCCUGUAAGAGGCCGCACCAUUGGUCGUGGCUCGUCCACAGACUGCCAAGUUAGCCGCCACCGCCACUACCACCGAUGCAAGCGGGAGGAGAAGUUUAAGAUCGAUCUCAUGGUUCCUCCGGCACUGAAAUCAUCUCCGGAAAGAGAUGGUGAUAUAGAAAGCGUAUCAGAUCCUAAAUCUAUUGCUCCAGAUGUUGAAAUGGUGCCUAAGGUAGAGGCUCCGAUGGCAAAGGAGAAGAUGGAGAAAAUUGCUCUGCCGGAUGCAAGAGAAGUUCGAUUGGAAGAGAAGAAGACGGAACAACUUGGAAGAAUUUAAAUCGCAGAAGCCGCUCGCUAAUAGGGAGAGGAUCCUCGACCUGCAAUUUGAUUUGGAAAAGCCGGAUAAGGAUGGUGGGACGGGUAGUGUCAGUGGAAGCAAACAACAGCCCAAAACUGCUACUAGACACGAUUCGAAAACAGAGAAAAUUGCCCAAUCAACAUCUUUGCCUCUUGCUAAUUCUAUUAUUCUAUGUACCGGAACUAGAAUUGUCCUCCUAAAACUUGGAGACAAAUCAGAUUAUCAUACCUUCUGGGCUGCUCCUCCGCGGGGAUCAGAUUAUCAUACCUUCAAACAGGGGCGGCAGGGGCAUCUUCUACCACUGAAGGCAUCGUAGGAAGCCGCAGGAGGGUCCUGCUGCCAACGAGAUAACCAUCCCAAGAUGCCCGAGGCUCGUCCCAAGAGUAACGUGGAUCGUCGAAGGAUAACAUUUCGAAGAACAAAUAACAAGAUGAUUAAAAACCCUAGCUACAAUUUCUUCUUCCUCUCCGAUAAUUGGGAAACAAGAAGAAACAAAAAGAUACAGAGACACUACUUCAUAUACCCAACCAAUUGAUAAUGGUUUCUUCAAAUUCUCCGGUGGAAAAAAUCCGGAGAUUGAUAAUCUCCGGUGAAGGUGAGUACGGUAGGGGUGAAGAGAAAUUGGG